AGGAACGAGAAAAUGUAGUGGAAGAAGAUGAUUUGGUGCAAAGAGCGGAGGAACUAGUAUAUGAAGAGGAUGAGGAGGCACAAGUUAAUUUGGAGCAAGUGCCAGAAGAACAAGAAAUGAAACAGACACCUGCGGUACUUAAAGAAGGAGAUAUCUUGCAAGAGAAACCAGUCAACACAAUGGCAUUUGGUGCGGCGAGUAUUCAGUUGGAUGGUAAGAAUAAUCUCCAGCCUGAAGGAGAAGCUCUUUCGCAGGAAGAAAAUAUCUUGCAAGAGAAACCAGUCAACACAAUGGCAUUUGGUGUGACGAGUAUUCAGUUGGAUGGUAAAAAUAAUCUCCAGCCUGAAGGAGAAGCUCUUUCGCAUGAAGAUGUUUUUUGUAGCCAGGACGGCAUCCAAGUAUAUAAUGAAGAACCUUUGGAGCAAGAGAAGUUGAUGGUGGACGUGCUAAAAGGUACUGGGAUGAAAAAUAUGUUGGAUGAUGCAAUUACCAGCAUUAAUAUUCAUAAGCAAAU
Molecule: long non-coding RNA, 514 nt
Filed under: Daucus carota (carrot)
Lineage: Eukaryota; Viridiplantae; Streptophyta; Magnoliopsida; Apiales; Apiaceae
Description: long non-coding RNA (DCAR_LNC006253)
Source: RNAcentral